Molecule: long non-coding RNA, 1395 nt
Filed under: Heterocephalus glaber (naked mole-rat)
Lineage: Eukaryota; Metazoa; Chordata; Mammalia; Rodentia; Bathyergidae
Description: lncRNA (ENSHGLG00100043250.1)
Source: RNAcentral
CCCUCAAUUCCUCAGGAUGUGAGGAAAUGAAGCAAAGGAAAAAUACCUCUCCCCUCCCACCUUGAGCAUAGCUCCCUGUCAGCACCGCAGCCUGGGAACCAAGGUGGAGAGAAGAUGUGAUCACACUGCUCUUGGCUAUUGGGACUGUCACCAGACAGGGUCUGAAGGGGUCUCUGAAGUGGAGCUGGGGAACCUCAUCUUACUCCACCCACAGGACUCUCAUUAAGGAGGUAAAGUGAUGAAAGUUUCUUGGAAAGAAAGAACUGCAGAGGUUCGCAGCCAAAUCAUAAGACAAUGAGUUGCCCACUGAAUCAAAGAGGGAAGGACAUAACAAACAGGUGAAAAAAGCCAGCCCCCACGGACCAGCCUCCUAUAGCAGAAGCUAUGAGGAAAACCACACAGCAGAGAAAAAUACUCAUGUAAAGAUCUGUGCACCAUGCUUAAGCUAUAUGAAGAAAAGGUCCAAAUAAAUCUAAUACCUAAACAACACACUGGAGCAGAGGGCUGCAGAUGAACUUGGACAGAUACUUUCUCAGCAGAUAUACACCAUCACAGGAACAGAGUACCUCUGAGCAUGACUCCCUUCAGUCAGCAUGGAAGAUUAAUGAAACCAGCUUUUAACUCUAAAAUUAUAAAAUGAUAUAAUGCAGAAUAAACAUAAUUAUUUGUUUGUUUGUUUUGUUUUGGUACCGGGGAUUGAACUCGGGACUUUGCAUUUGUGAGGCAGGCAGUAGAACCACUGAGCUAAAUCCCCGGCCCUAAGCAUAAUUGUUGUCAGAGCAGACACAGACCUUCUGGCAUUAUAUGGAAAGAUAUCUGAUGUAUUGCAUAAACCCGGAUCCCUCUAGCAUUUCCUCAGACUUCCCUUCUUCAUCCAGCUGCACUUGUGCUUUUCGUCCUUAAACAUGUAUCUGCUUUGAACCUGAUGGAUCAGGUGAUUCCAAACUACACUUUCCCCUGGGCUACUCACCAUUUCUAGUUCAUCUCCUGGGCAAAUAUCCCAACCCUUGGAAGUUAGGCACACAGUCUGUGCAUGUACUAAGCAUGUGGCUUUCUGCAUAUGUCUGCACAUCAUUUUUCAGGAAACUCUAUUUCACACUGCACCAGCUUGCUGAGUAGCUGUUGUUCACACCCACUGAGAAAUAACUCCAUGUGAGAAUAAUACCUUUACAACUUUGAAAUGUCCUCAGACAGACUUCUCAUCUCCAGGCCAUCAACCUGCUGUGAACUCUCAUCCUGACUUUUCACACUUACAGGCAACAGUCAUGCAACAUACUGUCAAACAAUAUGAAGGUUUGGGGAGAUGUGGAGGAGUGAAAAAUUUUAAAUUGGAGCCUGAACAUCUUUUGAGAUGGGUGUAAUUUUUAAUAAUUAAAAAAUCUAUCACACAUACAA